RNAcentral lists this ribosomal RNA (465 nucleotides) under Vreelandella stevensii. RNAcentral's name for it is "partial 16S ribosomal RNA". It matches the Rfam family "Bacterial small subunit ribosomal RNA", at positions 338 to 795 of the family's 1533-position model. The record is from RNAcentral. Lineage: Bacteria; Pseudomonadati; Pseudomonadota; Gammaproteobacteria; Oceanospirillales; Halomonadaceae.
CCUACGGGCGGCUGUAGUGGGGAAUAUUGGACAAUGGGGGGAACCCUGAUCCAGCCAUGCCGCGUGUGUGAAGAAGGCCCUCGGGUUGUAAAGCACUUUCAGUGAGGAAGAACGCCUGGUGGUUAAUACCCAUCAGGAAAGACAUCACUCACAGAAGAAGCACCGGCUAACUCCGUGCCAGCAGCCGCGGUAAUACGGAGGGUGCGAGCGUUAAUCGGAAUUACUGGGCGUAAAGCGCGCGUAGGUGGCUUGAUAAGCCGGUUGUGAAAGCCCCGGGCUCAACCUGGGAACGGCAUCCGGAACUGUCAAGCUAGAGUGCAGGAGAGGAAGGUAGAAUUCCCGGUGUAGCGGUGAAAUGCGUAGAGAUCGGGAGGAAUACCAGUGGCGAAGGCGGCCUUCUGGACUGACACUGACACUGAGGUGCGAAAGCGUGGGUAGCAAACAGGAUUAGAUACCCCAGUAGUC